UGCAACCUGAUGUUCUGGGAUCUUUAGCAUGGUGUGGAAAAGUAGAGAAGAAUAGCACAGCAAACAAUAUUUCUUGAUUUUGAUCUUUACAUGUCUUGAAGGAAUAUUCAAUAUGUAAAAAUUAGCCAAAACACUAGAGUUUCAGUCUCCAAUUCUUACACUAUUAGACUAUCUACAGACCACAAUUUUUUUAAAAUAUGCAAUGUUGAAAGCUGCUGUGUUCCUAUCAGUAACAAGGAAGGAAAAAUAGCCACCAAUUACUAAAUGUAAAUCAACAGACUAAGAACAGAUAAAAUGAAACAGCAGUGAUCAUCGUGUGGCAGGCUACCCCACUUUGCUACAAAUGAGUCAAGCUCCUUAUAUUGGAGUCAUACUCUCAACCCAUUCAUAUGGUUACUAAUUUCAAACAAACCAAGUCAAUAUUGCAGGCAUUCAGGGAAGUUCUCAUGUGGAUCUUCAAAAAUCCCAAGUAAAUUCUUUUCUAGUGGUUAGUUCCACUCAAUGUGAAAAGACAAAUUUCCUAAUUUUGAUUCACAAUUAACAUACAAGUCUCAAAUGUGAAAAUGAACCUGUAAACCGGGAAAAUUAAAUCACAAAAAAUGACAGUACAAUAUGUAUGCAUAUCUGUUUAACCAUCAUGCUCAUCUGAUAAUUAGCUAAAAAACUUCCUGAGGCAAUAUUAAGAUAAGUUGCAACUCAAUUUAGACAAAUGAA
This 714-nucleotide unclassified non-coding RNA is filed under the name Hevea brasiliensis (rubber tree). Lineage: Eukaryota; Viridiplantae; Streptophyta; Magnoliopsida; Malpighiales; Euphorbiaceae. The record is from RNAcentral.